Molecule: long non-coding RNA, 1483 nt
Organism: Canis lupus familiaris (dog)
Lineage: Eukaryota; Metazoa; Chordata; Mammalia; Carnivora; Canidae
Exons: 3
Source: RefSeq, a predicted model, not a curated record
GGGUAAUUACCUUGGCAACUCUAGAUUGGUGCCUGAGCCAAAGUAGAAGUAGAAGUGGACUCACAGGUCUUCAUCCUGGGGGAGAAAGCAAGGUAGAUGGUGGUGCAAUGGAGGAACUAAAUUUGGAGUUGUUACAAUAACAAAAGGAAGCUGAUCCAGGAGGAACAAGAUGCAUCUCAGAAUGUCUUCUCCAUCUGAGGGGAAAAUGGAACAGGUGCCCCGAGUCGGGGCGUGAGGCCCAUCUCCUGCUCUGCUCCACUGGCUCUGUUCAGAGGUAUUGCAAAGUUGCACUGCUUCACCUCUGAGGAAUUCAGCCUUGGAAAAAUAGCCAGAAUGCUAAUUAUCGCCAAUUUCUGAGGAGGAUUGUCUGUAAAAUAACCCAAGAAGACUUUGCCUUCAUUAACACAUUGUUUCCUCAAGUUUCCAGAGCUCCAUAGCAUGCAGAGGAAUGUGUUUAGGGGCAGAUCCGUUUCCUCACUGGUACAUGUCUACAGUGAUAAAGCGCCCAACGUGGAGCCCACGAGGAUUCGGGACACGAUGGAAAUCCUGCAGAUGGCAAGGAAGUCAAGAUGGUACCCAAGAGGAUCUAGGCUGGAAUUCUGCAUCCAUAAGACCCACCAGUUUGGGGCCUGUGUGUGUUUCCCUUGUCUCUAAGUCAGACUUUUCUCCUCUACAAGGGAGGGAUACUGAGUCUCUGAGCACCUCUGCACACUUGUGCAAGGGCAGCAGUGGCAUGUGCUGGGCAGCCCUUCCUGUAAGAGGGACUCUGUCUGCGGUCAGCAUCCAGCCUCUGCACCUUUAGGACCUGCUUCCCAAACUGUUCCCAAUGAAACUGAGCAGGAUGGGGAAGCCAGAGCUAACAUGUUUCUUGUCCCACGCAGACUGGGUGCUCUGGGUCUGUUGAUGGCCCCAGUGAGCCUUUCCCGGAGCCACAUGGUGGUGUCUUUCUAGCCAGUGUCCUUUCCUUCCCUGUCUCCUUCCACAGACGUCAGCCUGUACUGCAGUUCGAAAGCCCCACACACUUGCGGGGGGUCCCUCUGCCAUCAUCCCUCACAGACACUCCCCCUAGAAACCCUGCACAUUCCUUCUUAGUGUCUUCUUCCUAGAGACCAGGCCAGCCACACCUGCAUGUGGAAGAGUGCAUAUUUCAUCGGCAUACAAAUCAUGAAACUUCAUCAGGAGAACGCACCCAGGUCAGCAGCAUACAGAUUAAGCGAAAGGCCUUAUAGUGCCAGGCAAGUCCCCUUGCAUCUCUGGACAGUUUCUACCCCCACCCAAGAUUAACUGUCAUCCUGACAGUUAUUUGCAUAAUCGUGAUACUAAAGCCUGAGAAAGAAAUUACAAGAAAGAAAAAAAGCAACUAGAAGCCAGUCUCAUGAAAAUAGAUGCAGACUCCUUAACAAAUAUUAGCAGAUUGAAUCCAGCCAUGUAGCCCUUUUUUUUUUUUUAUAGCCAAUAAUACAUCUGGAAGCUUGGCAUCUCU